GAUGAACGCUGGCGGCGUGCCUAAUACAUGCAAGUCGAGCGAACAGACGAUGAGUUUGCUCCUCUGACGUUAGCCGCGGACGUGUGAGUCACACGUGCAUCACCUACCUAUAAGAGUGAUAUCACUUCGGGACACCGGCUCUUAUACCGUAUAAUCUAUUGCACCGCGUUGUUCAAUAGGUAAAUAUUUUUUUUCUUUCAUUUAUAGAUGGCUCCUCGCCGCAUUAGAUAGUUGGUAAGGUAACGGCUUACCAAGGCAACGAUGCGUAGCCGAACUGAGAGGGGGAUAGGCCACACGGGAACUGGGACACGGUCAAGAGGCCUGAGGGAGGCAGCAGUAGGGAAUCGUACGCAAUGGGCGAAAGCCUGACGGAGCAAGGCCGAGUGAGAGACAAAGGCGUUCGGAUCGGAAAAAUGUGUUAUGAGGGAAGAACAAAUGUGUAAGUAAAUAAGCAAGAAGUGACGGUACCUAAACAGAAAGCCACGGCUAACUACGUG
Molecule: ribosomal RNA, 497 nt
Filed under: uncultured bacterium
Lineage: Bacteria
Description: partial 16S ribosomal RNA
Rfam family: Bacterial small subunit ribosomal RNA
Source: RNAcentral